GCACUGGUGGUGCACGGCGCACGCCCCAUCCCAAAUUGUUGGCCUUCGAAUUCAACUGGCUGUGAGGAGCCCGGGGUUCGACUCCCCGCCAGUGCA
Molecule: non-coding RNA, 96 nt
Organism: Mycena latifolia
Lineage: Eukaryota; Fungi; Basidiomycota; Agaricomycetes; Agaricales; Mycenaceae
Source: the annotation of a GenBank genome assembly